This 253-nucleotide ribosomal RNA is filed under the name uncultured bacterium. RNAcentral's name for it is "partial 16S ribosomal RNA". It matches the Rfam family "Bacterial small subunit ribosomal RNA", at positions 524 to 776 of the family's 1533-position model. The record is from RNAcentral.
UACGUAGGGUGCGAGCGUUAAUCGGAAUUACUGGGCGUAAAGCGUGCGCAGGCGGUGAUGUAAGUCCGAUGUGAAAUCCCCGGGCUUAACCUGGGAACUGCAUUGGUGACUGCAUCGCUCGAGUAUGGCAGAGGGGGGUAGAAUUCCACGUGUAGCGGUGAAAUGCGUAGAGAUGUGGAGGAAUACCGAUGGCGAAGGCAGCCCCCUGGGUCAAUACUGACGCUCAUGCACGAAAGCGUGGGGAGCAAACAGG